AACGAACGCUGGCGGCAGGCUUAACACAUGCAAGUCGAGCGCCCCGCAAGGGGCGCGGCAGACGUGUGAGUAACACGUGGGAACGUACCAUUUACUACGGAAUAGCUCCGGGAAACCAGAAUUAAUACCGUACGUGCCCUUUGGGGGACAGAUUUAUCGGUACAGGAUCGGCCCGCGUUGGAUGAGCUAGUUGGUGGGGUAAAGGCAUACCAAGGCGACGAGCCAUAGCUGGUCUGAGAGGAUGAUCAGCCACAUUGGGACUGCGACACGGCCCAAACUCCUACGGGAGGCAGCAGUGGGGAAUAUUGGACAAUGGGCGCAAGCCUGAUCCAGCCAUGCCGCGUGAGUGAUGAAGGCCCUAGGGUUGUAAAGCUCUUUCACCGGUGAAGAUAAUGACGGUAACCGGAGAAGAAGCCCCGGCUAACUUCGUGCCAGCAGCCGCAGUAA
Molecule: ribosomal RNA, 447 nt
Filed under: uncultured bacterium
Lineage: Bacteria
Description: partial 16S ribosomal RNA
Rfam family: Bacterial small subunit ribosomal RNA
Source: RNAcentral